RNAcentral lists this ribosomal RNA (1401 nucleotides) under Triticum aestivum (bread wheat). RNAcentral's name for it is "partial small subunit ribosomal RNA". The record is from RNAcentral. Lineage: Eukaryota; Viridiplantae; Streptophyta; Magnoliopsida; Poales; Poaceae.
AUGGACGCCCCCGAGUCCGAGUCCUUGCCUCUCCACGUCGCCAUCUUCCCGUGGCUCGCCAUGGGCCACCUGCUGCCCUGCCUCGAGCUCGCCGAGCGCCUGGCCGCGCGGGGCCACCGCGUGUCCUUCGUCUCCACCCCACGCAACCUCGCCCGCCUCCCGCCGGUCCGUCCCACGCUGGCGCCGCUCGUCCACCUCGUUGCGCUGCCGCUUCCGCGCGUCACCGGCCUCCCGGACGGCGCCGAGUCCACCAGCGACGUCCCGCCCGACAAGUUCGACCUCCACAGGGCGGCGUUCGACGGCCUUGCCGCGCCGUUCGCGGCCUUCCUCGACACCGCCUGCGCCGGCGGCAGGAGGCCCGACUGGGUCGUGGCCGACUUUGUGCACCACUGGGUCGCCGCUGCCGCAGAGGAGCGCGAGGUGCCGUGCGCCAUGCUUCUCCCGUGCGCUGCGGGCAUCGCGGCCUUGGCCGGCCCGCCGCCGGAGUCCCGCGCGGAGGAGCGGCAGGCGGUCUCCAGGUCCAUGGACGCGGCACCGAGGUUCGAGGCUGAGCUGGCCACGGAGCAGUUCGCUGCGGAAGACACGUCGGGGGUGUCCGUCAUGGGCCGCUACUUCAUGACGUUGGAGAGGUCCAAGUUCAUCGCCCUGCGGAGCAGCCCCGAGCUGGAGCCCGACGCGUUCCCGCUCCUAACGAGGCUCUACGGCAAGCCGGCCGUCCCGCUCGGCCUGCUUCCGCCGCCGCCCGACGGAGCCCGUAGCGCCAGCGAGAACGCCGAGGACGUUGCGAUCAUUCAGUGGCUCGACGCGCUGCCGGCCAAGUCGGUGGUCUACGUGGCGUUGGGAAGUGAGGCGCCGUUGCGCGCCGAGCUGCUCCGCGAGCUGGCCCAUGGGCUGGAGCUCUCCGGGACGAGCUUCCUCUGGGCCCUCAGGAAUCCGGUCGACGGCGACGGCGACGGAGAGAGCAUGAGCAUCCUACUACCAGACGGCUUCGUGGAGCGCACGGGCAGGCGCGGGCUGGUGGCGGCGCGCUGGGUUCCUCAGGUGAGCAUACUGGCGCACGGCGCGGUGGGUGCGUUCUUGACGCACUGCGGGUGGGGCUCGGUCGUGGAGGGGCUCCAGUUCGGGCACCCCCUGAUCAUGCUGCCGCUCGCCGGUGACCAGGGCCCCAACGCACGGCUCAUGGAGGAGAGGAAGGUCGGGGUGCUGGUGCCGAGGGACGAGGAGGACGGUUCAUUUUCCCGAGACGGCGUCGCCGGAGCUGUUCGGGCCGUCAUUGUAGAGGAGGGGGGAAGCGUGUUCGCGGACAAUGCCAAGAAGCUGCAAGGCGUCGUGGCGAGCAUGGAGUGCAACGAGAGGUGCAUCGACUUGUUCAUUCAGCACUUACGAUCUUGUAGGAACUAG